GGAAUUGUUCGCAAUGGGCGAAAGCCUGACGACGCAACGCCGCGUGGAGGAUGAAGACCUUCGGGUCGUAAACUCCUUUCGACCGAGAUGAAUACAUGCCGACCUAAUACGUCGGUGUGCUGACAGUAUCGAGGGAAGAAGCCCCGGCUAACUCCGUGCCAGCAGCCGCGGUAAUACGGGGGGGGCAAGCGUUGUUCGGCAUUACUGGGCGGAAAGGGUUCGUAGGUGGCCAACUAAGGCAGACGUGAAAUCCCUCGGCUCAACCGGGGAACUGCGUCUGAUACUGGUUGGCUUGAGUGCAGGAGAGGAACGCGGAAUUCCAGGUGUAGCGGUGAAAUGCGUAGAUAUCUGGAGGAACACCGGUGGCGAAGGCGGCGUUCUGGACUGCAACUGACACUGAGGAACGAAAGCCAGGGGAGCAAAC
This 424-nucleotide ribosomal RNA is filed under the name uncultured bacterium. RNAcentral's name for it is "bacterial SSU rRNA". It matches the Rfam family "Bacterial small subunit ribosomal RNA", at positions 358 to 773 of the family's 1533-position model. The record is from RNAcentral.